Molecule: ribosomal RNA, 176 nt
Filed under: Staphylococcus epidermidis
Lineage: Bacteria; Bacillati; Bacillota; Bacilli; Caryophanales; Staphylococcaceae
Description: partial 23S ribosomal RNA
Rfam family: Bacterial large subunit ribosomal RNA
Source: RNAcentral
AUGGACGGGAUAAGUUCUGAAAGCAUCUAAGCAUGAAGCCCCCCUCAAGAUGAGAUUUCCCAACUUCGGUUAUAAGAUCCCUCGAAGAUGACGAGGUUAAUAGGUUCGAGGUGGAAGCGUGGUGACACGUGGAGCUGACGAAUACUAAUCGAUCGAAGACUUAAUCAAUUUUUAAA